Molecule: long non-coding RNA, 753 nt
Filed under: Androctonus crassicauda
Lineage: Eukaryota; Metazoa; Arthropoda; Arachnida; Scorpiones; Buthidae
Source: RNAcentral
UGUUUGUUUUCUUGUUCUUGUACACUUCGGACAGAGAACUGAGGGAACUCGGAGAAUAAAGUUCUAAGUACUUAUACGCUUUAAUUUGGGAUUUGGACGCCUCGACUUUCCCGGUGGGAGGCUGCCGGAAGUAAACGGCAUCAGUCAGAAUAAUAAUUUAAAUAUACAUAAAUUUAUUUAUAUUAAGAAUAUGAAUUAAUUUUUAAAUAAAUAUAUUUAUUUAUUUAUAAUCACUUCAUUUACGCAAAUUCAUUUUAAAAAAAUUGUGCUGCCAUAGUGAACACGUGCAAAAUAUCAGUCGACGACGCCGAAAGUUGUUGGGAAUUCCAGAAGACCACAACAGAUCGGAUGAUUCGAGAAAUCACUUCACAUUUGCCCAUACACGGUCAGAUUUGUCGAACGAUUUGGUCUCUGACGACGGAUUUGACGACAAAUUGCUCUGUGUGUGGCUACCUUAAAUUCAGUCGAACGAUAUGUAAAUCUGCCGACAGGUGUGAACGAUCCGUCUCAACCAAGGUCUCAACGACGAAUCUGAACGAUUGGUCUCAGCGAUGGAUCUGACGAUGAAUCGUUCCGUGUGUGGAGUCCUACAAUCGGUCUGACGAUUCGGCAGUUUGGCGACGGAUCGGAGGAUGGAUCGCACCGUGUGUGUGGACCGUCGGAUGAUGAUCGAUCGAAACGAUCUGUCGUUGUGAUCGGUCUCACGACAAAUCGCUCCGUAUGUGGCGGCCCUUAUAGUUCAUUUAUUUCCCC